UCUGGGAUGUGAGGAGCCCCUCUGCCUGGCUGCCCAGUCUGGAAAGUGAGGAGCGUCUCUGCCCGGCCGCCAUCCCAUCUAGGAAAUGAGGAGCGUCUCUGCCCGGCCGCCCAUCGUCUGAGAUGUGGGAAGCGCCUCUGCCCCGCCGCCCCGUCUGGGAUGUGAUAAGCGCCUCUGCCCGGCCGCGACCCCGUCUGAGAAGUGAGGAGACCCUCUGCCUGGCAACCGCCCCGUCUGAGAAGUGAGGAGUCCCUCCGCCCGGCAGCCACCCCGUCUGAGAAGUGAGGAGCCCCUCCCUCCGUCAGCCACCCCGUCUGGGAAGUGAGGAGCGUCUCCACCCGGCAGCCACCCCCGUCCGGGAGGGAGGUGGGGGGGUCAGCCCUCCGCCCGGCCAGCCGCCCCGUCCGGGAGGUGCGGGGCGCCUCUGCCCAACCGCCCCUACUGGGAAGUGAGGAGCCCCUCUGCCCGGCCAGCUGCCCCGUCCGGGAGGGAGGUGGGGGGGGUCAGCCCCCCGCCCGGCCAGCCGCCCCGUCCGGGAGGUGAGGGGUGCCUCUGCCCGGCCGCCUCUACUGGGAAGUGAGGAGCCCCUCUGCCCGGCCACCACCCUGUCUGGGAGGUCUACCCAACAGCUCAUUGAGAACCGGCCAUGAUGACAAUGGCGGUUUUGUGGAAUAGAAAGGGCGGAAAGGUGGGGAAAAGAUUGAGAAAUCGGAUGGUUGCCGUGUCUGUGUAGAAAGUAGACAUGGGAGACUUUUCAUUUUGUUCUGUACUAAGAAAAAUUCUUCUGCCUUGGGAUCCUGUUGAUCUGUGACCUUACCCCCAACCCUGUGCUCUCUGAAACAUGUGCUGUGUCCACUCAGGGUUAAAUGGAUUAAGGGCGGUGCAAGAUGUGCUUUGUUAAACAGAUGCUUGAAGGCAGCAUGCUCAUUAAGAGUCAACACCACUCCCUAAUCUUAAGUACCCAGGGACACAAACACUGCAGAAGGCCGCAGGGUCCUCUGCCUAGGAAAACCAGAGACCUUUGUUCACUUGUUUAUCUGCUGACCUUACCUCCACUAUUGUCCUAUGGCCCUGCCAAAUCCCCCUCUGCGAGAAACACCCAAGAAUGAUCAAUUAAAAAAUAAAUAAAUAAAUAAAUUUAAAAAAAAAAAAAACAAAAGUCAGCCAAAAAAAAAAAGAAAAAAAAAUCAUACAAACUUAAAUUUCCAGAAAAUAGAAAAAGGAAAUACUGCCCAUAUGUGGCAUAUAUAAAAUAACCUUUAUGGUAGAGACUGCUAAUUGUCCUAUUACCUAUUCUCCCCUUGUCUUUCACAGCAAAAGAAUCUUUGCUUUUAAGUUCAAAUAAAGGCCACACUUCCCAGCCUUCCUUGCAGCUGAGUGUAGCCAUAUGACUAAGUUCUGGCCAAGAGAAGUAGAAAUGGGGUAUGCAAGUUUUGAUUCAUGCUCAAAAGUCAGAGACAUGCCGUUUCUUCACCCUGCCACUUAGAAAGUACAUGAGCUAUUUGGACCAUACGAACUAGGGGUGGUUAAGCAGAACCACCAAACCAGCCCUGGACCACCAACCUCCAGAUAAUACAGGACAGAAAAAAAAAACUUCCCUCUCAUUCACGUCACCACUAUUUUUGGUAUCCGUUACAUACAGCCAAACCCAUGUACCAAGCAGAUCAUCCUACAUACCAACACCAGAAAUGUAUCGUAUGAGAAAGGAAAAUUGAGACCCAAUCUCACUUAUGAUUAUAGAUGCAAAAUCCUAAAUAAACUGUUAGCAAAUGGAAUCAAGUAUUAUACUUAAGAAAAAUUAUGACUAAGUUGGGUUUAUGUCAUGAUUGCAGGGAUGACUUUAACAUUAGAAAAUACAUUAAUGUAAGUCUCCACAUUAAGAGAUUAAAAAUUAAAACCAUAUGAUGAUGCCAGAAUAAAUUCAAUACCCAUUUAUAAUAAUAACGCUUAAUAAUCUAGGAAUAGAAAGGAACAUCUUGACCAACAAGCAAAAACCUACUGCAAUCUUAUUUUUUUUUUUUUAGUGGGGUUUCACCACGUUGCCCUCACUGGUCUCAAACUCCUGAGCUCAAAGGAUCCACCUACCUCGGCCUCCCAAAGUGCUGGAAUUACAGGCAUGAGCCACCACACCCAGCCUGCAAUCUUAUUCUUAACAUUAAAUUAUUCUUAACAGUAAAUGAAUGAACAGUAAAUGCUUUAAAAUUGUUCCUGUUAAAGUCAAACACAAGGAAAGGAUUCUUGCUAUUAUCACUUUAUUCAACAUUAAUUUGAAGGUUCUGACCAUUACACUAAGGAAAACAUUUUUUCAAGGUCUAAGGAUUGGAAAAAAACAAGGAUAUGAUACAAUUGCCUCCAGAGAAGAAACAAGCAGGGCAAAACACAAGGCCUAUCAGGAUAAAAAGCUGAUGCAACUGGACUCCGUCCCAUAGAUGAGCUGAAGCAAAAGGACCUUCACACAGAACUUUUAUCAUCAGCCUGAGGAAAAGUACUCGAAGGACAAGGCCAUUGGUUGGGAACUUACACCAAAAAAAAAAAAAGAAAAAAAACCUGAAUUAUAGAUACUAUGAAUAUGAUGAAAAUAAGCAGAACGGACCGGGUGCAGUGGCUCACACCUGUAAUCCCAGCACUUUGGGAGGCCGAGGCAGACAGAUCACCCGAGGUCAGGAGUUCGAGACCAGCCUGGCCAACCAUGGCCAACAUGGUGAAGCCCCGUCUCUACUAAAAAUACAAAAAUUAGCCAAGCACAGUGGCGCACACCUGUAAUCCCAGCUACUCGGGAAGCUGAGGCAGAAUUGCUUGAACCCAGGAGGCAGAGGUUGCAAUGAGCCAAGAUCGUACCACUGCACUUCAGCCUGGGAGACAGUGCAAGACCCCAUCUCAAAAAAAAAAAAAGAGGAAGGAAAAGACAAGACUGAUGGGAUAGGAGGGUGUGAAAGGAACUUUAUUAUUAGGAAGAAUAUAAAUAAUUAAAAAUUAUUCAAUGAAGUAGCAUAAAGUCAAAUUAAAGCAACUACAUUAACAAGAAAAUAGAAUGUAUAGUUUUCAAAACAUGAGAAGAAUGUUGGCUCUAUGUAAUGGAAAGUAACAAAGGUGGGGAAAGAAACAACAAAGAAGGCACAGUACAUGAAAAAUAUAAAAUUAAAUGGCAGAAUAAGUCCUAAUAUUAUAGUAAUUGUAAUAAAGAUGGGUAAAGUAAACACACUUCUUAAAAGACAAACGUUCCUGGGUUGAGUUUCUUCCUUAAGGUUCAGCAAUAUGUUGCAUACAAGAGAAACACUGAAAAUAAAAAAACUUUAUCACGGGCUGGGCGCAGUGGCUUAUGCCUAUAAUCCCACCACUUUGGGAAGCCAAGGCAGGCGGUUCACCUGAGGUCAGGAGUUCGAGACCAGCCUGACCAACAUGGAGAAACCUCAUCUCUACUAAAAAUACAAAAAAAUUAGCCAGGCGUGGUAGCACAUGCCUAUAAUCCCAGCCGCUCGGGAGGCUGAGGCAGGAGAAUCGCUUGAAUCUAGGAGGUGGAGGUUGCAGUGAGCCAAGAUCACACCAUUGCACUCCAGCCUGGGCAACAAGAGUGAAACUCCAUCUGAAAAAAAAUAAAAAACCAUUUCAAAUAUUUAAACAAGAAAAUAGAAGGAAUAAACAAAAGGAAGAAAAUACAUGAAGCAAAUAUAAACCAAAAAAAAAUCAGGGAAGUAAUUUUAAUAUUUGACAAAAGAGGAUACAAGAGGAAAAAUAUAAAAGACAAAGAAUGAGGUAAUACAAGAAAAUACAAACACCAGGAACAUAAAAGCACCUACUCAUAUAGCCUCAAAAUAUAUAAAACAACAACUGAUAAAAUUUCUGAGGCUGGGUGUGGUGGCUCAUGCCUAUAAUCCCAGCAUUUAGAGAGGCCAGGGUGGGAGGACUGCUUGAGCCCAGGAGUUCCAAGACCAGCCUGGGCAGAAUAGUGGGACCUCAUCGCUAUUAAAAAAUAAUAAUAAUUAAUUAAAAAUUAAAAAGAAAAAAUGUUUUUUGGAAGAAAUAGAUUAAUUAUGGUUAGAGAUUUUUUACACACCUUUCUCUGAAACUGGUUGAUCAAGGAGACAAAAAUAAGCAGAGGUAUAAAAUAGCUGUAUAAUAUCAUUGGUAAAUUCAAGCUAUUGGGCUGGCCAUGGUGGCUCAUUCCUGUAAUCCCAGAACUUUGGAGGGCCAAGAUGGGUGGAUCACCUGAGGUCAGGAGUUCCAGACCAGCCUGGCCAACAUGGCAAAACCCCAUCUCAACUAAAAAUACAAAAAUUAGUUGGGCAUGGUGGUGGGCACCUGUAGUCCCAGCUACUAGGGAGGCUGAGGCAGGAGGAUCACUUGAACCCAGGAGGCAGAGGUUGCAGUGAGCCGAGAUCACACCACCACACUCCAGCCUGGGCAACAGAGCGAGACUCCACCUCAACAACAACAACAAAAAAUUUAAGCUAUUGGUGUAUAUAGAAUUUCACACCCAACAAAGAGAAAAUACAUAAUCUUUUCUAGCAUGUAUGUAUCACGUAAUAUUGAAUAUGUUGGAUGCUAUAAAGAAAGCCUUGAAAAAUUUCAGAGACUCACUAUUAUCAGAUUAAGGCCAGAUGUGUUGGCUCACACCUAUAAUCCCAGCACUUUGGGAAGCUGAAGCAGGAGGAUCGCUUGAGCCCAGGAAUUCGAGGCUGCAGUGAGUUAUGAUUGUGCCAUUGCACUCCAGCCUGGGCAACAGAGCAAAACGCUGUCUCAAAAAAAAAAAAAAAAAAAAAAAAAAGGGCCACCUGUAAUCCCACCACUUUGGGAGCCCAAGGAGGGCAAAUCACAAGGUCAGGAGAUCAAGACCAUCCUGGCUAACACGGUGAAACCCUGUCUCUACUAAAAUUAGCCGGGUGUGGUGGCAGGCGCCUGUAGUCCCACCUACUCAGGAGGCUGAGGCAGGAGAAUGGCAUAAACCUGGGAGGUGGAGCUUGCAGUGAGCUGCCAUCACGCCACUGCAUUCCAGCCUAGGCGACAGAGCGAGACUCCAUCUCAAAAAAAAAAAAAAAAGUUUGCAAUAUUAUACAGAUUAUGUUUUUCUGACUGCAAUGCAACAAAAUUUUUAAAUUAAUAGAUAAUAACGGCCAAGUGCGGUGGCUCACGCCUGUAAUCUCAGCACUUUGAUAGGCCGAGGCUGGCAGAUCACCUGAGGUCAGAAGUUCAAGACCAGCCUGGCCAACAUGGUGAAACCCUGUCUCUACUAAAUAUACAAAAAAUUAGCUGGGCAUGGUGGUGAGCGCCAGUAAUCCCAGCUACUCAGGAGGCUGAGGCAAGAGAAUCGCUUGAACCUGGGAGGCAGAGGUAGCAGUGAGCCAAGAUCGAGCCAUUGCACUCCAGCCUGGGCAACAGGGCAAGAGUCCGUCUCAAACAAACAAAAAUAGAUAAUAAAAUAGUUUUAAAAUAAAUCACCCAAAAAACUGAAAACAGCCCAAUGUCCAUCAAUAGGACUAUAGAUAAAUAGGGUAUUUUCAUACAAUGAAAUAUGAUAGAGUAGUAAAAAUGAAUGA
This 5534-nucleotide long non-coding RNA is filed under the name Homo sapiens (human). RNAcentral's name for it is "HSALNT0015425". Lineage: Eukaryota; Metazoa; Chordata; Mammalia; Primates; Hominidae. The record is from RNAcentral.